Molecule: ribosomal RNA, 907 nt
Filed under: uncultured bacterium
Lineage: Bacteria
Description: bacterial SSU rRNA
Rfam family: Bacterial small subunit ribosomal RNA
Source: RNAcentral
AUUCAGCCCUUAGAGUUUGAUCCUGGCUCAGGACGAACGCUGGCGGCGCGCCUAACACAUGCAAGUCGAACGAGAGAUGAGGAGCUUGCUCUUCAAAUCGAGUGGCGAACGGGUGAGUAACGCGUGAGGAACCUGCCUCAAAGAGGGGGACAACAGUUGGAAACGUCUGCUAAUACCGCAUAAGCCCACGGCUCGGCAUCGAGCAGAGGGAAAAGGAGCAAUCCGCUUUGAGAUGGGCCCGCGUUCGAAUUAGCUGGUUGGUGAGGUAACGGCCCACCAAGGCGACGAUCGGUAGCCGGACUGAGAGGUUGAACGGCCACAUUGGGACUGAGACACGGCCCAGACUCCUACGGGAGGCAGCAGUGGGGAAUAUUGCACAAUGGGGGAAACCCUGAUGCAGCGACGCCGCGUGGAGGAAGAAGGUCUUCGGAUUGUAAACUCCUGUUGUUGAGGAAGAUAAUGACGGUACUCAACAAGGAAGUGACGGCUAACUACGUGCCAGCAGCCGCGGUAAAACGUAGGUCACAAGCGUUGUCCGGAAUUACUGGGUGUAAAGGGAGCGCAGGCGGGAGAACAAGUUGGAAGUGAAAUCCAUGGGCUCAACCCAUGAACUGCUUUCAAAACUGUUUUUCUUGAGUAGUGCAGAGGUAGAUGGAAUUCCCGGUGUAGCGGUGGAAUGCGUAGAUAUCGGGAGGAACACCAGUGGCGAAGGCGGUCUACUGGGCACCAACUGACGCUGAGGCUCGAAAGCAUGGGUAGCAAACAGGAUUAGAUACCCUGGUAGUCCAUGCCGUAAACGAUGAUUACUAGGUGUUGGGGGAUUGACCCCCUCAGUGCCGCAGUUAACACAAUAAGUAAUCCACCUGGGGAGUACGACCGCAAGGUUGAAACUCAAAGGAAUUGACGG